Long non-coding RNA from Raphanus sativus (radish), 1528 nucleotides. RefSeq lists it as uncharacterized. The record is from RefSeq and is a predicted model, not a curated record. Lineage: Eukaryota; Viridiplantae; Streptophyta; Magnoliopsida; Brassicales; Brassicaceae. The transcript is spliced from 7 exons.
GUGGAAGGGAGUCUUGAUCUUCUUGAUGUUGAGUCAGUGUUUGUCAUCGGAAGAGAGCAUGCAAAUGCAAUACGGGUACUUGAAAGUUCCGGCAAGUGAGUUUGUGAGCUCCAUUGACACGAUUGUGGGAGUAAUAGGAUAAGUGACUUCGCUUUUGUCUGAGUUUGCGGAUUUCAGUGGAGAUAGUUGGCUGCAAGAUGCGGUUUCGGAUUGCAUGGAUCUGCUCGAUGUUUCUUCAGACGAACUGAGUUGGUCUGCUUAUGCUUCUCAGAAUCCAAAUGAUCACUCGCGAUCCCUCUUCCUCUUCCCCUUCCUCUUUCGUUCUUCUUCAGUUAUGGUGGUCUCCGACUCUUAGCUUUCCCUAUGAUUCAACGGAUUUCUCUUAAGUCUUUGCAUUGUCUCAUUGUUCCGUUGAUUGAAGAAAUCUUCGCUUUCGGCUGCGAUGGGAAAAAAGCAGAGGAAGCUGAUCGUGAUGUUUGCUUGUCAGACCGGAAACGCUCUUGAUGUUGCAGAGCUUAUUAGCCGUGAAGCUGAACGCCGAGGCUGUCAUGCGUUUAUCGUCUCCACCGACGAAUUCAGCCCAAUAUGUGAGAUGUUGUUGUGAAUCAAUAUUAUUUCAUACUGUGUUCUGAAGAUUGUUUGCUUCAGAUGUUUAAUAUGAAGGAAACCGUUACAAUUCCUCUGUUUGAUCACUUAGAACCGAUGAUUGUUGUACUCAUCCUCCCCACCUUGGAUUUCUCUAUGUAAUCUGCCUUGGCAAGGGCGUCGUGAAGGCACCAGAAAUCUGAAUUAUGGCAAGAUCAGUGAAACAGAAGGCUUACACAUGUCGAGGCAGGUGCCAAAGCUUAUAUUUUUUUCUGGUGGUGCAACUCUUGCUGCUGAUAUUGGAGAUCUUUUGUUAAUCAAGGUUUUCUUAAAACUGGAGGUGCUCCUAAUCAGAAAGACGAGGAUGGCAAUAGGCCAUUAGAAGUUGCAUCUGUAAGAGAGAACAAAAAAAUAGUCGAGACUCUUCCCGUUGACAACAAAGUCUGAAACUGUUUCAGACUGGACAUUUGUUGGAGUUCUAGCUCACAUGGAAUCAAAUAAAGAACAAGAGGAAAACUCAAUGAAGUCAAAAUCCUUAGAGGCUGUGAUUAAGAAAGACCUUCCUGAGAUCUCUCCAGACCCAAAGGCGCAAGCCACAAAAGCAAAAGCAAGAGGAGAAGACACGUUAACAGAAAGCAUUUCCAGAUGGCCAUUGCCACUUACACACAAGUAUUCAACACUAAACUUGUGGCCAUUGAUUUUGACCCCACACAUCAUACCUUCUUCUGAAACGGAAGACUCUGCUGGUUGCGGUUAGGACAAGCUGAACAUGCCUUAUAUGAUGCUAAAGUCUGCAGAGAACUAAAACCUGAUUGGCCUAAAGGAUGUUGUUUCCGUGAAGGUGUCACUCUUCGUUUGCUACAGAGAAGCUGUAGAUUUGGGGAUAAUCUGAGAAAGAGUCUUGCUUGGGACAAAGCCUUUUUCAUCAAUGCAGCAAGCAAGU